GAAGGAGGUAAGCAUAAUAAUAUGUACAAAAAUUAAUUUGGGUCUUUAGACCUACCAUUUUUGAUGUCUUUUGGCUUUGAUUUUGGGCAUUGUUCUGCAGCAAAACG
Small nucleolar RNA from Rhododendron vialii, 107 nucleotides. RefSeq annotates it as small nucleolar RNA snoR100. The transcript has a single exon. The record is from RefSeq and is a predicted model, not a curated record. NCBI's taxonomy places the organism in Eukaryota, Viridiplantae, Streptophyta, Magnoliopsida, Ericales, Ericaceae.